GCGGUGGUGGCCGGCUUGCUCGCCGCCGGCUUGGCCGGAGCCGGGGCCGGCUUGCUCGCCGCCGGCUUGGCCGGAGCCGGGGCCGGCUUGCUGGCC
This 96-nucleotide transfer RNA is filed under the name Pseudomonas aeruginosa. Its description in RNAcentral is "tRNA-Gly(gcc)". The record is from RNAcentral. Lineage: Bacteria; Pseudomonadati; Pseudomonadota; Gammaproteobacteria; Pseudomonadales; Pseudomonadaceae.